RNAcentral lists this long non-coding RNA (6930 nucleotides) under Mytilus galloprovincialis (Mediterranean mussel). Lineage: Eukaryota; Metazoa; Mollusca; Bivalvia; Mytilida; Mytilidae. The record is from RNAcentral.
UAUAUGAGCAAGCUGUCGCCAUUAUCACGAAGACCAAUAAUGGCAGUAUAUUGACAGGGAGAAACAGAUAAAUAGUGAAUAUAGUUGUAAAUUAUACUAUAAAUUAGAAUUCAGUCGAAAAUAACACCUUGAUGAUCGAGAUUGUUUAGUCUGCAUAGUGGGUAAAUAGUUUCGUGAAAUCGGUAAAAAGAGCAACGUGAACGUGCAAGAAUUUUUUUAUUCCGUUCUGUGUAUUUUUUUGUGGACCAAUAGGCUAAUAAGAGAGAGCCCGCUGCCCUUCGGAAAUUGGUAAUGAUUCUCGUUACUGACUUUACAAAUGGUGUACUCUUAAACUUAAGAUUGUACACAUGAUUAUGUUUUAUUGUAUGGCAUUGGAUCUGUCAGCUGUCAUGCAUGUUGUUGAAGGAAGUUUAGGAUUAUUAAUUAACCAAUUUUAAGCAUUGUACAAAUAUACGUCCCCAAUUCAAAUGCAUUGAUCUUCAAAAAAAAGGGGGGGUUCCAACCUCCUGAACCCUCCCUCUGGAUCCACCACUGGUACAUAUAUAUGUAUAUUCAUGAUAUCUUUUAAGAUUGUAUUGUUAAUAAGGGUAAUUUACAAAAUGUAGGCUACACAACUGAGUAUAUAAUACCAGAACUCCAUUACUAGAGGAAGUCUGCAAGCUGUGUUAUAUAUAGUCCGCAGGCAAUCAGGUCACAUUGUCCCAGCCUAUUCACAGUGGAAAUCACUGUACAAUGUACAUGAUGUAGGUGGCCCUCCAAAAUCUUGUUUUGCUACUUAUGAAUCAUGGGUUUAAAAUAUUACCAUAAAACAGACAGUUACUAAAUAGUCUCUCUGAGUCUCAGUUUUAAGCUCACCUUUCCUAAAAAAACAUGGGUGCCAAAGCUACAUUUUUUGUAAAUACAUGUAUAGAACAUAGGGGUAAAAUGUAGUUUUGGGAUUAUAUCUGAAAAUUAAAGCAUUUAGAGCAAAUCUGACAUGGCGUAAAAAUGUUUAUUAGCUGUACAUCUAUCAGCCCUGAAAUUUUCAGACAAACCCGUCAACUGAUUGUUGGGUUGCUGCCACUAUAUUAGUAAUAUUAGGGAACAUUUGCAGUUUUUGGUUAUUUUCUUGAAUAUUAUUAUAGAUAACGAUUAACUGUUCACAGCAAAAAUGUUCAGCAAAGUAAGAUCUACAAAUAAGUCAAAAGGAGUUAUUGGCCUUUAAAUAUAAAAAAGAAGAUGUGGUAUGAUUGCCAAUGAGACAACUAUCCACAAAAGACCAAAAUGACACAAACAUUAACAACUAUAGGUCACCGUACGGCCUUCAACAAUGAGCAAAGCCCAUACCGCAUAGUCAGCUAUAAAAGGCCCCGAUAAGACAAUAUAAAACAAUUCAAACGAGAAAACUAAAAGCCAUUUUACACAGUUUGUUCAUUAUGUUUGUUAGCUUUCAAAAAUCUUCUUCUCUGAAACUACUGAACAAGUUGCAGGCAAACUUAUUCUAAAUGAUCCUAAGUGUUUAAUUUUGUGUUUUGUAAAAAAAACAUGGCUACCAUGGCUAAAAAUAAAAUUUUCAGAUGAAUGGAACAACCAAUUGUUGUGUUGCUGCCACUACAUGUAUAUAGUAAAUUUUUGAAAAAUUCAGCUGUUUUUGGUAUUUUCUUGAAUAUUAUUAUAUUAUUAUAGAUAAAGACUGUAAACAGCAAAAAUGUUUAGCAAAGUUAAAAGACCAAAAUUGUCAAUUGACCACUUAAGGAGUUAUUGCCCUUUAAAGACAAUUUUGCACAAUUUGUUCAUCAUAUAAAAUUAAAGAUGUGGUGUAAUUUCCAAUGUGACAACUCUUCACAAAAGAUCAAAUGACACAGAAAUAAACAACUAUAGGUCACCAUAAAGCCUUCAACAAUGAGCAAACCCCAUACUGCAUAGUCAGCUUUAAAAGGCCCAGAAAUGUCAAAUGUAAAACAAUUCAAACGAGAAAACUAACGGCCUUAUUAAUUUACAAGUAAAUGAACGAAAAACAAAUAUGUAACACAGCAACAAACAAGAACCACUGAAUUGCAGGCUCCUGACUUGGGACAGGCACAUACAUACAUGAUGUGACAGGGUUAAACAUGUUAGCGAGAUCCCAACCCUCCCUAACAUAGGACAGUGGUGUAAUAGUACAACAUUGAAACGAACUAUAAAAAUCAGUUGAAAAAGGCUUAACUCAUCAGAUGGAUACAAAUAGAAAUAUAUCUAACAAAAACAGAGUGAAAGUGGCUGGGCACUUAUACAUCCCAACAACAAAAAGACCAUAAGUACAGAUCUGAGAGUACUCACAGUUACUGACAGCUAGUUCAAAGCCAUUAACAAUUAAUAAAAAAAAAUCAUGCAUCUAAGACUAAAUUAUCAAUCAUUACACAUCCAACAUCACAUGGAUUUAGUGUAAAGACGUCAUAAACAGUCAGAGAAAAACAUGACCUUGUGCAAUGCUAAGAUAAGGUAUCAACAGAUUGUAGAUCCAUGAAUGUGCAUAUAUGUAUAUUAUAUAUAACAAUAAUAUUUAGUUUGCUUUUAGUUUACUGAUAACAAAAUCAAUAUUAAUACCAAUUCUUUUAGAAUAAGUUUGCUAACUUUAAAUAAUCUUAAUAUUCCUCUGAAAUUACUGAACAAAUUUCAACCUAACUUGAGGUGAAUUAUAAUUAGGGUAUCUCCAAUAAAGUUUAUGUUUUAUUUUCUGUUUUCCCGAGAAAAAAACAUGGCCACCAUGGCUAAAAAUAGAAUAUAGGGUAGAAUGCAGUUUUUGGCUAAAUAAUUAAUUAUUUCAAAAACUAAAGCAUUUAGAGCAAAUCAGAGAAGGAGUUAAAGUAUAAUUCAUUAGGUCAAGGUCUACCCGCCCUGAAAUUAUCAUCAGGGUAACAGAUUUUUAGGUUAUUGCCCCUGAAUUGAUCAUUUAAGGAAAAUUGUCAAUUAUUAUCUUGAAUAUUAUGAUAGAUAAAGAUAUUAAACUGUAAAACAGCAAAAAAAAUGUUAAGCAAAGUAAGAUCUGCAAAUAAGUCUUCUGAACUAAAUGUUCAAUUUACCCUUAAGGAGUAAUUGCCUUUUAAAUUCCAUUCUCAAUUUUAUUAUUUACAAUUUGUUCUCUUAAAUAUUAAAAAAUCUUCUCCUUUGAAAUUGCUGAAUUAAAAUCCGCCAAACUUAGGCUGAAUGAGCUUUAGAGUAUCUAGUAUAAAUUUUGUAUUCUAUUUCCUAGCAUAUAAAAAAACAGCCCUAUGGCUAAAAGGAAACUAAGGGGUAAAAUGCAUUUUUAAUUUGAAAAGCAAAAAUAAUAAUUGAUGAAGAUUUAAGCAAAAAAUUACAGUUGAGAGCCUCUUGUUCAUUAAUUACAAGUAUGUAUUAUAUAUUCAUUAGAAUCUGUCAUUUUAUUAGUGUUUUAUAAGCAUCCGCUUUUAAUUUGCACAUUUCCAAUUCAAUGGACCAUGUUUUAUCUUUAUAAACGUUCGAUGUGACUGUGUCACUGUGGGCCAAUUAAUUCACUGUGUGCUAUGCAUAAAUUAUCAAGACCCAGAAUUGCAAAAAAAAUAUUGCUACAUGUCAUUUUCAAUAGCUUUUUUCCCUACUGAGGACUGUCUAUAAAGCAUGAUGAAUUUAUGUCUUUUUUUUUUUUUAGAUAAAAUGCCUUUGUUUAGGAAAAGAGGCAGACCUUAUGCCCAUGUUACAUAUGAAAGAGGUAAAAGGAAAUUAAAGAAAGGUGUUCAGGUCAUAAAAAAAAUCAAACAGGAAACAAAACCUACAUCUGGACUCUAGCUUGCUUCCAAAUUUUCAGGAAAUGACCUUAAUUCAGAUCCUCCUUGUUCAAGUUCAGUGCUUUGUAUAGAAUAUUGCCAUAAAAUAUUGGAUGUGAAAUACCUGAAAGUAUAAGAUGUCUACAUGUUGAUCUUUAAUUACGAAUGAUGUUCUUGUACGAUGAUAACAUUUUGUAAAUGUUUUGACUUGUUUGUGAUAUCAAGAACUUUGUAAUAAUUUUCAAUAAUUCAGAGAUUAAUUUUUUUUCAUUAAAAUCAAAUAUAUUGUUACAAUACAUACAGGAGCAAAUCGAACAAGUUGAGAUAUAUGUAUAAACACAAUAAGAUGUUGACAGAUUGUUUCUGAAUGUUUCUUAUUUAUUUCUUGAAUAAAUUCCAGUAGUACAUUGUGUACUAGUACUGCUUUUUUCAAAGAUAAAUAUUGUAAUGGUUUGGGAAAAAAAUCCCUCUUAACUAUUGAAAGUUAGAUAACUAUUCACAUACAUGAAUGAAUGUUUAUUUUUUAGGUACAGAUGCCCUUAAAGUUUUUGAUGAAGUAAAGAGCAAGAUACUAUCCCAUCCGGCAGUGAUACCUUCAUGACACUGUAUGAUUAAUUUGACAAAGAAUAACAAUAGGACACCAACAGUUCACAUAUGAGAAGAUGUUUUAGGGUAAACCACAUACUGUGUAGGAUUUAAUAAUGUCCCCUAUGAAAUGAUGUCCAGAGGACAUUAUUUCAUAGUAAAUACAUGGACAAUAUUUACUUAUUUAGAUGUGUCCUGGACACAAUUUCCUAUGAAAAUAUGUCCUUUGGGUAUGAAAAAGUGUCUAUGAACAUGAACAUUAUUUAAUACUAUAAUUCUGUACAGGUGGACACUUUUUUUCAGGACAUUAUAUCCAUCAGGACAUUUUUUUGAUAUGAUCAAAAUAUUAAAUGAUGUCCAUUGCCUUGUUAUUACUGGACAUAUUUUAACUUUAAUACAGUGUUACCUUGACAGAGAGUUGUCUCAUUGACACUCAUAUCUUCCUUAUCUUCCUAUUUAUACUUUUAAUAUAUAUAUACAUGUGUGAUGAUUUAAAUUGAAAUAAAAAAGUGACAGAUGCUGUUCAGUAUUAUUUUCCUUGAAGGACACAAUUAAAUAACAAUUACUACAAAAAAUUGUCCUGUAGGUGGACCAUAUUUCAUAACUGUUGCUGUAAAAUGCUGUAUACGUAGGGGACAACAUUCCAUGGCAAUGGACAGUGUUUAAUACCAAAAUUCUAUAUUUUCUAUUGCCUUCUUCUCAUAAUAAAUAUAGUAUAGUUCUUCACAUUUGAUUUUAUACUUUACACUCUUCUUCCUUUUUGUUCUUAUCAUUAGCUGGGUAUUUCUUAAAACUUUAAUUUCUCUCUAUUUACUUCCAUCCUUAAUUUUUUGUUUACAUAUGUAUAUUAAUCAAUUUCUAAUCAAUCCUUCAGAUUUUUAUUAAUAUUCAAGUGUAAUAAAACUUUUUAAUGGCCUUUGUAUUACUUCCCUUGGAGGACACAAUUUAAUAGUGACUACUAUGACAACUUGUCCUGUAGGUGAACACUUUUUCAUAACUUUUGCAGUAAAAUUCUGUCCAGUUGAGGGACAAUAUUUCAUGGCAAUGGACAUUAUUAAAUACCAAAAUUCUAUGAAAAAUUGUCCACAUGGACACUAUUAUGUCUUACAACUGUACAGAAAUUAUUUAAAUAAUUUGAAAAAAAAUAUUAAGCAAAAUUUUUCAAAUAUUGUUGGGCUUUAAAUGACACAGAAUUAACCACUAUAUGUCACUGUAAGCCUUCAACAAAGAACAAAACCAACACCACAUAGUCAGCUAUAAAAAGCCUCAAAACAAAAAAAUGUAAAACAAUUCAACGAGAAAAAAUAAUGGCUUAAUUUAUGUAAAAAAUGAUAUGUAACACAGUCACAGCAACAAAAAUCCACUACAGGUUCCUGACUUGUGACAGGCACAUACGAUUGUGAAGGGUUAAACUAGUUUGAAGGCACUAACCCUUCCCCUAACCUGGAAAAGUGGUGUAACAAUACAACAUAAUAACAAACUAUGAAAAUCAGUUGAAUUUUUUUUUUAACUCAGCUCAAGGAUACAAAUAGAAAUACAUCUAACAAAAAAAACAGAAAAUUGACAUGGAUGGGUACUGGUACAUCCCAACAUAAAAAUAGAAAAAAAACAGCCUAAUUAAUGUACAAAAAAAUGAAUGAAAAACAAAUAUUCACAGUUACUGACAGCUAGUUCAAAGCCAAUAACAACUUAUAAAAAGAAUCAUGCAUCUAAGACUGAUUUGUCAAUCAAUACACAUGCACCAUCUACUGGAUUUAGUAAACAGGUGUCAUAAAGUAAUUCAGAGAAAAAACAUGAACUUGUGCAAUGCCAAGAUACAGGUAUUGACAGAUUGUAAGAUCCAUAAAUGUGCAUAUGUAUAUAACUAUAAUAUUAAGUUCGAUUUUAAUUAAAUAAUAACAAAUCAAUAUUAUACCAAUAAAAACAAAAUUUAAAGACCUAAUUACAGUGUUGAUUUGGUAACCGUUUCAAAUAAGUUUAUUUAAAGGAUCAAUAAUUUUACCUGGAUCGUUUCUAAAUUUCUGUGCUCGGAAAACAACAUAUGAUCAACAUAUACAUUUGUACUCAUAUUUGUUCUUUUUUUCAUAUGAGGCAGACUUCAUACAUGUACAGGAGCUUCUAAAGAGGUUUGAAAAGAUGGAGAUGUGGUAUGAUUACCAAUGUGACAACUAGUCACAAUUGAUUUGGGUAGAAGGGACAAUAAGUAAUGCCUUCAACCAUGAGUAUAAAAGACCAAAUCAGAAAAAAUAAUGGCUAGAUUUAGGACCAAAUAAAUUGAAAACAAUUUUAAUGGAAACCAACCACUCAAUUUCAGGCUCCUGGUUCCAGAUUUGGGACAGGCACAUAUUAAAUAUUUUUAAUUUGAGAUAACUUGUGAGCACUUAACCAAGAAAUAUUAACAAUAUGUAACAAAAAAUCUCCCCUUUGGCUUACAUUCUUGCAUAGAUUUUCCCAUUUGGAAACUGACUGAAUUAAUUAAAAAAAAUACACAUUUAUUACUUUUUAUUUUUCUCUUUCUUUAUCAACUUUAAUUAAUUUGCUAUCAUGUUAUUGUUUCUUUGUUAUUUUUAGGUGAAUGGUUAUAGUAAUUUAGACAAGCAAA